AGAGUUUGAUCAUGCUCAGGAUGAACGCUGGCGGCGUGCUUAACACAUGCAAGUCGAACGGAGUUUUUAAACGGAAGUUUUCGGAUGGAAGUUUAGAAACUUAGUGGCGGACGGGUGAGUAACGCGUGGGUAACCUGCCUCAUACAGGGGGAUAACAGUUAGAAAUGACUGCUAACACCGCAUAAUAUAGCGAAACCGCAUGAUUUUUGCUAUCAAAUAUUUAUAGGUAUGAGAUGGGCCCGCGUCUGAUUAGCUAGUUGGUGGGGUAAAAGCCUACCAAGGCGACGAUCAGUAGCCGGCUUGAGAGAGUGACCGGCCACAUUGGGACUGAGACACGGCCCAAACUCCUACGGGAGGCAGCAGUGGGGAAUAUUGGACAAUGGGGGAAACCCUGAUCCAGCCGACGCCGCGUGAGUGAAGAAGUAUUUCGGUAUGUAAAGCUCUAUCGGCAGGGAAGAUAAUGACAGUACCUGACUAAGAAGCCCCGGCUAACUACGUGCCAGCCGCUGC
This 510-nucleotide ribosomal RNA is filed under the name uncultured bacterium. RNAcentral's name for it is "bacterial SSU rRNA". It matches the Rfam family "Bacterial small subunit ribosomal RNA", at positions 8 to 518 of the family's 1533-position model. The record is from RNAcentral.